CCCGCCCAGGAACUACGAGCAAAAGCUUAAAACCUAAAGGACUUGGCGGUGCUUUAGACCCACCUAGAGGAGCCUGUUCUACAACCGAUAACCCCCGUUAAACCUCACCUUCUCUUGCCAUUUCCGCCUAUAUACCGCCGUCGUCAGCUUACCCUGUGAAGGACCUUCAGUGAGCAAAAUUGAUUUAAUCCAAAACGCCAGGUCGAGGUGUAGCAUAUGAGAAGGAAAGAAAUGGGCUACAUUUUCUAUCAUAGAAAACAACGAAAACUGCCAUGAAACAGCACAUUAAGGAGGAUUUAGCAGUAAGUGGAGAAUAGAGAGCCCC
Molecule: ribosomal RNA, 325 nt
Filed under: Aphyosemion hofmanni
Lineage: Eukaryota; Metazoa; Chordata; Actinopteri; Cyprinodontiformes; Nothobranchiidae
Description: mitochondrial SSU rRNA
Rfam family: Bacterial small subunit ribosomal RNA
Source: RNAcentral